GGGCCUGUAACUUAGACGAUUAGAGCACGUGGUUACGAACCACGAUGUCGGGAGUUCGAAUCCCUCUUCGCCCA
Datura stramonium (jimsonweed) is the source of this 74-nucleotide non-coding RNA. Lineage: Eukaryota; Viridiplantae; Streptophyta; Magnoliopsida; Solanales; Solanaceae. The record is from the annotation of a GenBank genome assembly.